This is a long non-coding RNA of Xiphophorus hellerii (green swordtail), 1450 nucleotides long. RefSeq lists it as uncharacterized. NCBI's taxonomy places the organism in Eukaryota, Metazoa, Chordata, Actinopteri, Cyprinodontiformes, Poeciliidae. The transcript has 2 exons. The record is from RefSeq and is a predicted model, not a curated record.
UUUAUCACAAAAGGAAACGCAACCUAUAGAUUAAUUACACACAGAUGGAUGUUUGAAAGCCUUUAUUUUUGUUAAUCAUGAUAAUUUUCCACUUGCAGCAAAUUGAAACAUGACAUUUAAAAUUGGAAUGUUACGUCAGACAAACUGUUUAAAAAUAGAAACGUGGGCUCAGUAAAAAGUAUUUUUCAUAAAGGUUUCAAGCCGACAAAACAAGACUCACCUGAAUGCAUAUUCUAAUUUAUUGACUAUGGAUUAGUGAAUUUGCGUUCUCUGAUUUGUAGUUCUGGCUGUGAUGGGACUACAAACCCCAAAAUGAAGGGAAACAGUGAAGAUCUUCAGCUUUCUGCUCCCAUUGCUGAGUUUCUGUAUGUCCAGGCAAUUAAAAUUAAAACUUGUUAUUCACAACUACCACAUUCUACAGAGGAAAAUUUAUAUCUACAGGAACUUUGCUUAAAAAAAAACUAGACUUGUAAUUGUUGUCCAAAACACACAUAAUGUAGUAAUAAAGCCUUUAAUUUAACAUAGACUCCCUGAAUAGGGGAACAUCUCCUGUUUUUCCUCUGUGGAUAAUUUAUUAUACAAGAACCAGAAAAGCUGCAAAAAUUGAUAUCCAGCUGAGAAAUCACUUUUUUUCCUUUACAGUUCUUUCCUCUUUUUCCUCCAUGUGCGCCGAUGACAAAUCAGUGUAUUAUCCCCUUCAUCUGUGUGACAGAACACUGAGGUUCAGCUGAGCCAAAUAUAUAUUAUGACUACAGGCAUGUGUGUGGCCAGAAGUAUCUGAGCACAUUCAUUUGUCUUCAUGCUUCCACUAAAAGCAAGGCUACGAAAGAUUCCAACGCAAAACCGUGGAUGAAGAAAAGAAAGAAUCCGUAGGAGUCGGAGAUCAUGAUCGCACCGAUUCGGAACGGGGCCGCGAGCCCGGCCAUCUGGAAGAGGUCUCUCAUUUCUGCAAACAUUCUUCCUACGGAGAGGAACACAAGUCUCGGGCACACAACCGCUGCCCACAGCGCCGAGAGGGAGAGGCGGCGCUCCUACUGGACCUGCUACUGUCUAAACUGGGAGAGGAUAUCCACAGGAAAGCAAUAAACUAGCAGAGGGUUGUUAGCCUUAAGAGCUUGGCCUGCCAUCAACCUCUUCCUGUUUCUUCCACACGCUAGCUUUUUUUUUCUUUUUCUUAUCUGUAGCCUUGUUUCACUGGGUUUUUUCAGAGGCGAGCACACAAAAGAACUCUCUGGCUUUUAGAUGACGCACAACAAAGGGAUGCACUCCAACAUCGCUGCAGGAGGAGUUGUAUGAAUGUUUCUGUUUGCUGCUUCGUCUCUUCAGACAUCAUCUAAGGCGAACGGGCUCUGUGUUUGGAAAUUAGGUUACCCAAGAUAAAGAUACCACAAGAUAAAUUGAACAUAAUGUCGAUGCAUGUUCAAAUAAAUGAAGCUAAUUCUGAAGAUGG